Long non-coding RNA from Myiozetetes cayanensis, 990 nucleotides. RefSeq lists it as uncharacterized. The record is from RefSeq and is a predicted model, not a curated record. The transcript is spliced from 3 exons. NCBI's taxonomy places the organism in Eukaryota, Metazoa, Chordata, Aves, Passeriformes, Tyrannidae.
UUCCUUAGCGCUAAUUUAUCGCAGUUUAAAACAAAGCUAGAAACACCAAACAUCAAAACACCACUUUCCCAAUAAAACACUUUCUUAAAGCAUCCCCCCCCACCUUCGGCUGGUGCCCGAUGCAGCGGGAUGCAGGGAGAGGAAGAGCCGUUCCUGCCGCGCAGAGCAGGGAGCACCGCAAUGAGGGGGCAGCUCCUGAGGCCCCUGACCAGAGGACAGGCAGAGUGCUGUGUGUGCCACGCUGCUGGAAGGACCAGAGCUGCCUGGGAACAGCUGCUGCACAAGGUGCUGGAUGUUCCUGUUGAUUAACACAUCACUGAGACUUGGAGAAAGAAGAACAUUCUGGUGAACCUCCCAUCUUGAUGAAGAUAAUCUUCUUCUCCACUCACAGAGUGUUACUCAUGCUGGACAGAAACAUCUUAUCCUAGAGAAAUGUAGCAUCUGUUAUUUACUAAAUUAAGUGAAUUAAACACAGGAUCCUUCAGAUGAGUCUUUUAGCUUCAAGCUCAGUUGCAGUUUAGCACCAUGCUCAGACUUGAUAACCAGCUUGGCAUGCAAGCCUUAAGCAUAAUUUAAGAAAGAACUAUUUGAUCAACAAAGAAGAGUAUAGAAAGUUAUAGCAAUAAUGUGUAUCUUUCCUUAUGUAUCAAAUAGAGAUAAAAACAAAAUAAAUAGUGGUAGUCAAUGAGAAAUAGAUUUUUUCAGUCUUCUGCAUGCUAAUUCAAACUAAUAAAACAGUAUUUCAAAAGUGGCAAGGCCUACAUAGAAAAGUACAGCCAGGGAGUACCUCUGUAGUGUGCUACGUAAUUUUAAGCAUUAUUUAAAGGGAAAGGAAGUAACCCCUAAUCUGCUUAUCCAGUGACACACGAGUGUAGAUGUAAGCAUGCUGAAGCUACAGAAAUCCUGGAGUUAUGACAGUGAGAAGGGGACAUAUUAUGUCCUGAAUGAUCAUAACAUUCAAAAAUGCUUUAUUUUAGCCAUUUUAAGGGG